UGGCGGACGGGUGAGUAACGCGUGGGUAACCUGCCUCACACAGGGGGAUAACAGUUGGAAACGACCGCUAAUACCGCAUAACCCGCUGGUACCGCAUGGUACUGACGGAAAAGAUUUAUCGGUGUGAGAUGGACCCGCGUCUGAUUAGCCAGUUGGCAGGGUAACGGCCUACCAAAGCGACGAUCAGUAGCCGGCCUGAGAGGGUGAACGGCCACAUUGGGACUGAGACACGGCCCAAACUCCUACGGGAGGCAGCAG
Molecule: ribosomal RNA, 258 nt
Filed under: uncultured bacterium
Lineage: Bacteria
Description: partial 16S ribosomal RNA
Rfam family: Bacterial small subunit ribosomal RNA
Source: RNAcentral